UGUUAAAAAUUUCAUUCAUUUGUACUAUUAAAAACUGACAUGGUUGACUGAAUAACUAGACAAUAACAUAUGAUGCACCAAUUUUUAACAAUAAAAAUAAAUAAAUUUUUAACA
Molecule: non-coding RNA, 114 nt
Organism: Gossypium raimondii (Peruvian cotton)
Lineage: Eukaryota; Viridiplantae; Streptophyta; Magnoliopsida; Malvales; Malvaceae
Source: Rfam